This 272-nucleotide ribosomal RNA is filed under the name uncultured bacterium. Its description in RNAcentral is "partial small subunit ribosomal RNA". It matches the Rfam family "Bacterial small subunit ribosomal RNA", at positions 26 to 285 of the family's 1533-position model. The record is from RNAcentral.
AGAAUCAACGCUGGCGGCGUGCCUAACACAUGCAAGUCGAACGCGAAAGUCCCGAAAGGGAUGAGUAGAGUGGCAAACGGGUGAGUAACGCGUGGGUGACCUGCCUUCGAGUGGGGGAUAACGUCUCGAAAGGGACGCUAAUACCGCAUAAAAUGCCGCCUUUUAAGAGGUGGACAUCAAAGCCUGGGACCGCAAGGCCAGGCGCUUGACGAGGGGCCCGCGUCUGAUUAGCUAGUUGGUGGGGUAAUGGCUCACCAAGGCAACGAUCAGUA